UCAUGAUUAGUGUAAAUUGAUGAGCACAUGAAAUUUUGAUUUUCAAAGUUCAGGGUUAAUUCGUAUUAUGAA
Molecule: transfer RNA, 72 nt
Filed under: Eosembia sp. FS-2017
Lineage: Eukaryota; Metazoa; Arthropoda; Insecta; Embioptera; Oligotomidae
Description: tRNA-Gln
Source: RNAcentral